Non-coding RNA from Lactuca sativa (garden lettuce), 3917 nucleotides. The record is from RefSeq and is a predicted model, not a curated record. Lineage: Eukaryota; Viridiplantae; Streptophyta; Magnoliopsida; Asterales; Asteraceae.
CUUAAAUUAGCUUAUUGUGAGAAUAAGCAAUAAGAAGUUUUUUUUUUUUUUUUUCCUAUCCAAACACCCCUAAUAAAAAUGAAAAUAUUAUAUCAAUUACCUAUAUACGAGAUCCUUCUUUAGACAGUAAGACUAUGCACGUCACCUGCUUGCCUGCUGCUUUCCUCAUCCAAUAAGAAGUCUGGCGGUCAUUCUUUAACUUAUGUGGAGUCGGUUUGCUUUCCUUCUCCACACCGCCUCAAUUAGUUGUGUCAAGCCGAGUCACUGUCUAUUUUCUCAUGUUUUUCCGUUUUCCCGCCACCUCCUACUUGGUUUUGCGCACCGACCACUGGGUUCAAUAAACGGCGUCGUUUGGCUAUUGAUGAAGGUCACCUAGACGUCACGAUGAGGUAGAAGACUUAGCGGUGGGUUUUCCUUCUUGGCGGCCACGUUCCCCCCAAAGCUGCAUACCUUUUGGAUCCCUUUUUACCGCCACCUCCCAUUGAUUGCUGCUGAGUCACCCUUUUGACUUCCUCUUCAUGCCGCUCCAUGUUUAUUCUGUAUUUAAGGUUCGCAUAAUUUCACAUGUUUGUUGUUGGUUGUUUUUUUGCGAUUUAAUAUUUGAUUCUUCUUUCCCCAUUUCCAUAAUCGGGUUUUGUUGCUUCACGAUUGAUGUUGAAGAGGACGAAAGGGAAGGGCCUGAUGAAGAGACGAUUUAGCCUAAAGACCGUUACUAAUGACAAAUCGAUGACAUGGAACCUUAAAUUAAGGUAAUCUAUUUUUCUCAUUUUCUCUUUCUCGAUUACUUAUUGACGUGCACAGUAUCCACCACCAUGACCAGCUUGUAUUCUUACUCUCAUCUUUUGUUGACUGUUAGAUAAAACUAAUUUUCCUUUUUUUUUAAUAGUUUAACAUAUACAAUGACUUUCUUGAUUCUCUUUUGAUUUUAGUAAUCGUACGGAAAAAACCAUCAUCACUACAAGAAAAGGGACCUAUAGAGACGAAAAUUGUCGUCCCUGUAGGUUCAAAAGUUGUCUCUAUAGGUGUUUGGGACGACAAGUCGUCCCUAUAGCUUUUGUCUCCAUAGCCCUGUCGCAACAGAUCCUUUCGGUCGUCACUAAAAAUAUCGUCGCAAUAAGUUGCCUUUAUAGACGACAUGUCGUCCGAUUCUGGUUCGUCGCUACAAGUUGCUGGUCUCUAUAGUUGUAUCUAUAGAGACGACAAGUCGUCUCUAUAGCUUCAUCUAUUAAAACAACAUGUUGUCGCCAUGGAUACAACUAUAGAGACAACAUGUCGUUCCCAUAGAUAUAGCUAUAGAGACAACAGGUGGUUUCUAUAGAUAGAGAUGCAAUCGACAGUUCUUACCCUAUAGCGACAGCAGCUCGUCGUGGUUGAUGCACCUAUAGAGACGACAUGUCGUCUCUAUAGGUAUGCCCAUACAGCUGCUAUUUCCCUCUUUAAUUUCCCUGUUUUUGCAUCACAAAAUUGCUAAAUAGGAAAUAGUAAUCUGAAUUCUAAAUGCAAACAUUAAUAAGCCAUAACACCAUUAGUUCAAUUAUCCCCUGAAUGAGAGAGAAGGUAUGAAAAGCAUCUCAAAAUGAAGACAAACAUAAGUAACCAAAACCAUAUGAGCUUCAAAAAUAUUCCCAAAAACACAUGCUUGCAGAAAAGAUUUUUUGAGUUUCAAGUAUCAGAUUUAUGAACAAAAUGAUAUUGUUGAGACAAAAAAAAGUAGAGCCCAUAUAAUACGUUCAGAAUAUUCCAGCCGAUAGCUGAUAGGUCGGAAUUGGAAUUGAACUUGAUUACCAGAGUUGCUUUAUUUUCUUCUUUCCAUUCCAACUUGGUUCUCUCUAAAACCUCAACAACCUACAAUUCCAUUCCAUCCGAUAUAAUAAUAAUAAUAAUAAUAAUAAUAAUAUUAAAUAUUAAAUGAUUAAUAAUAUCAAAUAUAGUUUCAUCAUAAUUCAUACCGUGUGUUUAAGUUAUGAAGUCCCUCCAAAUCCAGUGACAACAUUCAAUUCCCCCAGAACUGUACAACAUCAUAAUAAAUCCAUUAUUUAAAAUAUAAUUAUGUUUAUGUAUGUAUGGAUAUCAUGAAAUAGAUGAUUAUUAUUAUUAUUAUUAUUAUGCUUACAUCCGCCACAUGCAUAACAGAAGGUGAUAACUGAUAAUUAAAAAUUUUGUUAUUAAGAGGGAAGAUAGAAAACUUCAAUUUUAAUUUUAAUAGAUGUGAAUGUGAUGCAAACCUCCUUUGAAGUUAGAAGAACAUCACUAAACCUCAGCAACUUAGCAAGUGCUUCUUGUUCUUCAAGUGUCCCAAUAGCAAGAGACUUCCCCUUUGGUCAAAAAAAGACUGAUGUUCCAACUUCAACAGCAUACUCAAGGGCAUGAGUAAUCAAAUUUGCAGGAAGCUCAUGAAAUCAUAGCCAUUACAGAAAAGGGCUUUUGACUUUUGUAUACUCCUCUUUGCUUCAUUAGAUAAUGUUCUCAUCUAAGUAAAUGCAGGUUCCUUGCUAAAAUCUGCUCGACUAUAACAAAAUCUAGGUCAAAUAUUGAUGAAUUAUGAUCUGUAAAGUUGGUAUAAGCUACAAUACACUUGAACGAACUUUCAAUUAAUCACGUAUACCUGCAAAACAUGUGUCUUUGUAAAGGAUCCACCAAGACCAAACAUAAAAUUGUCUCGUAUGCACUACCGGAAAAUUUCCAUAUAUGAUAAUGACAGGAGCCCCAUCUCUUCUUUCUAGUGUUAAGAUAAUAAGAUGAUCGUGAAGGAGAAAACACAGAAACCUAGAUAAAAAAAUAAGCCGGUGUAAAUUUAUAAAUUUAAAAAGAUUCCCAAAACUAGGAUUUGAUGUUGUACAAGUAUGAAGAUAUGGAUAACUAUAAACACAACAUACCUUAUGGAGUAUCAAAAAUACCCUUCCCAAGUUCACCCUCGGUUAGCACUUUAUGAUGAAUAGUACCAGAAACUGCAUAUGUAACUAAAAUUUAACUUACAUAAACAUAAUUUGGCAUAUUAAGUACAGGACUUGAUAACAGCAACAACCUGUUAUAUACCAAAUAAUAGAUGAAAGAAUGGACAACAAUUUGAGCUUUCAAUCAAACCAUAGUCACAACAAUUUGAGGUUACAAUCCAGUAAAACAUAACAGUGAAAGUUAUAAUUCGAGACUAAAACCGGAAAUUAAUUUAUGGAGUUGCAGAUAGGAUCAUAAGAAUUUGAAGAAUAAGUAAAUCAACAAAACAAAAUUAACAAAAUGAAGUACCAAAUUGACAACCCUACCAACAAGAACAAGUUAACUUAAACAAAUUUAGUCAUGAUUCCAGUUAGAGUAUUAGUUAUAAUUCCAAUAUCACAAGCACCAAUUAAGAAAUUUAUAAAUGUCUACUCUUACAUAGAGUUGAGAGCAACCUGAUUAAUCGCAGAUGUUGCUUAAACAGAUGCCAAUUCUAUUCAGGACCUUGAUGUGGCUCAAUAUCUCGAUAUUCUUCCUCAACAUCAAAAUGAGGUUGUCAGUCAUUAGAAAUCAAAUUUCCUUUUAAUCGCAAAAGCUAUGGUGAGGAACGAGAAAAGGAGAUGGUGAUUUGCUUAUCGAAGUGAGCAAAUGGUCUCAUGUGAGAGAAACUGUGAAACUAUAGAAAAUCACAAGUUAGGGACGAAGAAGAAGGAACAAAAAACAUAGAAAAAUUAGAGAUGCGCAUGAGCUUGAACGAAUCAGUAAAGAAGAAUGGAGAUUUGCUUGAGCUCUAAAAACCUUGAACGAAUGAGAAAUGGAGAUGAUUCAAGUGUUGACAAAUGAUGUGAGCAAAUAACUUCCUGAGAGAGAAACAAAGAAGAUCGGAGACCACCAAGGGAAAGGGAUUCUCUUAACUGAACCCUAUGGGGACGAUAAGUCGUCCGCAUAGCCUCAACUAAACGACGCCGUUUUCCAUUUUCUAG